This 45-nucleotide non-coding RNA is filed under the name Schistosoma mansoni. The record is from RNAcentral. Lineage: Eukaryota; Metazoa; Platyhelminthes; Trematoda; Strigeidida; Schistosomatidae.
AUCCAGCUGACGAGUUCCAAAUAGGAUGGAAUGCGCGUUCUGGAA